GAUGAACGCUAGCGACAGGCCUAACACAUGCAAGUCGAGGGGCAGCAUGGUAUCAGCUUGCUGAUACCGAUGGCGACCGGCGCACGGGUGAGUAACGCGUAUGUAAUCUGCCUGUAACAGAGGGAUAACCCGGAGAAAUCCGGCCUAAUACCUCAUAAUACAUAUUAUUCGCAUGAGUUUUAUGUUAAAGAAAUUCGGUUACAGAUGAACAUGCGUUCCAUUAGCUGGUUGGCGGGGUAACGGCCCACCAAGGCGACGAUGGAUAGGGGUUCUGAGAGGAAGGUCCCCCACACUGGUACUGAGACACGGACCAGACUCCUACGGGAGGCAGCAGUGAGGAAUAUUGGUCAAUGGGCGAGAGCCUGAACCAGCCAAGUCGCGUGGAGGAAGACUGCCCUAUGGGUUGUAAACUCCUUUUACCUGGGAAUAACGGGCGCUACGUGUAGCGCUGUGCAUGUACCGGGAGAAUAAGCAUCGGCUAAUUCCGUGCCAG
Molecule: ribosomal RNA, 493 nt
Filed under: uncultured bacterium
Lineage: Bacteria
Description: bacterial SSU rRNA
Rfam family: Bacterial small subunit ribosomal RNA
Source: RNAcentral